RNAcentral lists this transfer RNA (74 nucleotides) under Marmota monax (woodchuck). RNAcentral's name for it is "tRNA.Ala". It matches the Rfam family "tRNA". From Rfam's summary of the family: Transfer RNA (tRNA) molecules are approximately 80 nucleotides in length. Their secondary structure includes four short double-helical elements and three loops (D, anti-codon, and T loops). The record is from RNAcentral. Lineage: Eukaryota; Metazoa; Chordata; Mammalia; Rodentia; Sciuridae.
AUUGGGGAUAGCUCAGUUGGUAGAGUGCUUGCCUAGCAUGCACAAGGCCCUGGGUUCAAUCCCCAGCACUAAUA